RNAcentral lists this ribosomal RNA (428 nucleotides) under Chloroflexota bacterium. RNAcentral's name for it is "Chloroflexi bacterium partial 16S ribosomal RNA". It matches the Rfam family "Bacterial small subunit ribosomal RNA", at positions 355 to 776 of the family's 1533-position model. The record is from RNAcentral. Lineage: Bacteria; Bacillati; Chloroflexota.
UGGGGAAUAUUGCACAAUGGGCGCAAGCCUGAUGCAGCCAUGCCGCGUGUGUGAAGAAGGCCUUCGGGUUGUAAAGCACUUUCAGCGGGGAGGAAGGCGUUAAGGUUAAUAACCUUGGCGAUUGACGUUACCCGCAGAAGAAGCACCGGCUAACUCCGUGCCAGCAGCCGCGGUAAUACGGAGGGUGCAAGCGUUAAUCGGAAUUACUGGGCGUAAAGCGCACGCAGGCGGUCUGUCAAGUCGGAUGUGAAAUCCCCGGGCUCAACCUGGGAACUGCAUUCGAAACUGGCAGGCUAGAGUCUUGUAGAGGGGGGUAGAAUUCCAGGUGUAGCGGUGAAAUGCGUAGAGAUCUGGAGGAAUACCGGUGGCGAAGGCGGCCCCCUGGACAAAGACUGACGCUCAGGUGCGAAAGCGUGGGGGCAAACAGG